RNAcentral lists this long non-coding RNA (203 nucleotides) under Spirodela polyrhiza (greater duckweed). Its description in RNAcentral is "long non-coding RNA (SPOL_LNC002060)". Lineage: Eukaryota; Viridiplantae; Streptophyta; Magnoliopsida; Alismatales; Araceae. The record is from RNAcentral.
UUACAUUUUGAUUUCUACCUCUCCCUCUUCCAUUAUCUUUACUCUUCAUCUCUAUUUUCUCAUCUAAUUUCUGUCUACAUUUCUCAUCUACAAUAUCUUCCUCUUCUUGUUCUUCAUCUUCUUCAUCAUCAUUUCCCCUUCUUGUUCUUGUUUGUUCUUCUCCUCUAUAUCCUUUUACCUUGUGAUUUUGUUUUCAUCCUUUG